Molecule: transfer RNA, 66 nt
Filed under: Scolytinae sp. BMNH 1040080
Lineage: Eukaryota; Metazoa; Arthropoda; Insecta; Coleoptera; Curculionidae
Description: tRNA-Ala
Rfam family: tRNA
About the family: Transfer RNA (tRNA) molecules are approximately 80 nucleotides in length. Their secondary structure includes four short double-helical elements and three loops (D, anti-codon, and T loops).
Source: RNAcentral
AGGAUAAUAGUUCAAAAAAGAACAUUUAAUUUGCAUUUAAAAAAUAUAAUUUAGUUAUUUAUCUUA